AUGGUGACCGGGGGCCCUGACGCGCGAUCCGCGUCCCGGCCGCCGGGACCGCGCCGAGUCAUCGGCGGGACCGACCCGUGACUGC
This 85-nucleotide non-coding RNA is filed under the name unclassified sequences. Its description in RNAcentral is "c-di-GMP sequence". It matches the Rfam family "c-di-GMP-II-GAG riboswitch aptamer". The record is from Rfam by way of RNAcentral.